This 253-nucleotide ribosomal RNA is filed under the name uncultured bacterium. RNAcentral describes it as "partial 16S ribosomal RNA". It matches the Rfam family "Bacterial small subunit ribosomal RNA", at positions 524 to 776 of the family's 1533-position model. The record is from RNAcentral.
UACAGAGGGGGCAAGCGUUGUUCGGAAUUACUGGGCGUAAAGGGCGCGUAGGCGGCCUUCUAAGUCGAACGUGAAAUCCCCGGGCUCAACCCGGGAACUGCGUCCGAUACUGGAAGGCUUGAAUCCGGGAGAGGGAUGUGGAAUUCCAGGUGUAGCGGUGAAAUGCGUAGAUAUCAGGAGGAACACCGGUGGCGAAGGCGGGUCUCUGGGCAGUAACUGACGCUGAGGAGCGAAAGCGUGGGGAGCGAACGGG